GGAACGAACGCUGGCGGCAUGCCUAAUACAUGCAAGUCGAACGAACACUUCGGUGUUAGUGGCGCACGGGUGCGUAACGCGUGGGAAUCUGCCCUUGGGUUCGGAAUAACAGUUGGAAACGACUGCUAAUACCGGAUGAUAUCGAAAGAUCAAAGAUUUAUCGCCCAGGGAUGAGCCCGCGUAGGAUUAGCUAGUUGGUGAGGUAAAGGCUCACCAGGGCGACGAUCCUUAGCUGGUCUGAGAGGAUGAUCAGCCACACUGGGACUGAGACACGGCCCAGACUCCUACGGGAGGCAGCAGUGGGGAAUCUUGCGCAAUGGGCGAAAGCCUGACGCAGCCAUGCCGCGUGAAUGAUGAAGGUCUUAGGAUUGUAAAAUUCUUUCACCGGGACGAUAAUGAACGGUACCGGAGAAGAAGCCCCGGCUAAACUUCGUGCCAGCAAGCCGC
This 447-nucleotide ribosomal RNA is filed under the name uncultured soil bacterium. Its description in RNAcentral is "bacterial SSU rRNA". It matches the Rfam family "Bacterial small subunit ribosomal RNA", at positions 27 to 518 of the family's 1533-position model. The record is from RNAcentral.